Roridomyces roridus is the source of this 94-nucleotide non-coding RNA. The record is from the annotation of a GenBank genome assembly. Lineage: Eukaryota; Fungi; Basidiomycota; Agaricomycetes; Agaricales; Mycenaceae.
UCCCUCUCAGCUCAGUUGGUAGAGCGCGUCACUAGUAUAGCUGCCGCGCAACUGUGUUAUGACGAGGUCAGUCGUUCAAAUCGGCUAGCGGGAA